RNAcentral lists this ribosomal RNA (490 nucleotides) under uncultured bacterium. RNAcentral describes it as "partial 16S ribosomal RNA". It matches the Rfam family "Bacterial small subunit ribosomal RNA", at positions 30 to 507 of the family's 1533-position model. The record is from RNAcentral.
AUUGAACGCUGGCGGCAGGCCUAGCACAUGCAAGUCGAACGGUAACAGGAAACAGCUUGCUGUUUCGCUGACGAGUGGCGGACGGGUGAGUAAUGUCUGGGAAACUGCCUGAUGGAGGGGGAUAACUACUGGAAACGGUAGCUAAUACCGCAUAACGUCGCAAGACCAAAGAGGGGGACCCUCGGGCCUCUUGCCAUCGGAUGUGCCCAGAUGGGAUUAGCUUGUUGGUGGGGUAACGGCUCACCAAGGCGACGAUCCCUAGCUGGUCUGAGAGGAGGACCAGCCACACUGGAACUGAGACACGGUCCAGACUCCUACGGGAGGCAGCAGUGGGGAAUAUUGCACAAUGGGCGCAAGCCUGAUGCAGCCAUGCCGCGUGUAUGAAGAAGGCCUUCGGGUUGUAAAGUACUUUCAGCGGGGAGGAAGGGAGUAAAGUUAAUACCUUUGCUCAUUGACGUUACCCGCAGAAGAAGCACCGGCUAACUCCGUG